GCCGGGAGUCAGCGUACAAGUGAAAACCGGGGUUUGGACGCGACCGGAUUGAGAUAUAAAACCGAUUCAGUUACUGAUUUGUAUUUAGUUUUAAUAAUCUGAUAACCCACCAAGAUGCCUCCCAGAAAACGCAACUCUGGAGCAGCACAGUACAAGGAAAUUAAGCCCAGCAUAAAAAAGCCUCCCCCAGGGAGUCCCCGGACAAGGUGCAAAAUCCUGAUUUAUCGAUAGAAAAGCACAAAGCGAAGGAUGCCGACUUUGACUCUGUGUCAGAGUCUUCAUGUGACAGAUGCAGUGUGUGAUCGUGCCUGGACAAUAUGGAAGGCAGUUCAGCCCUCAGUGGACAAAGUUCCUGACACUAAAAAAAGGCUUUGGGGUGCUUGUCUGUUUGUAGCUGUGACAGACUUGGAAGUUACAAGUUUUACCUUUACUCAAGUCCAGA
Coregonus clupeaformis (lake whitefish) is the source of this 442-nucleotide long non-coding RNA. RefSeq lists it as uncharacterized. The transcript has 3 exons. The record is from RefSeq and is a predicted model, not a curated record. Lineage: Eukaryota; Metazoa; Chordata; Actinopteri; Salmoniformes; Salmonidae.